GGGGAAUAUUGCGCAAUGGGCGAAAGCCUGACGCAGCCACGCCGCGUGAGCGAUGAAGGCCUUCGGGUCGUAAAGCUCUGUGGGGAGAGACGAAGAAAGCCUGUGAAGAGCAGGCCUUGACGGUAUCUCCUUAGCAAGCCCCGGCUAACUACGUG
Molecule: ribosomal RNA, 155 nt
Filed under: uncultured Nannocystis sp.
Lineage: Bacteria; Pseudomonadati; Myxococcota; Nannocystales; Nannocystaceae
Description: partial 16S ribosomal RNA
Rfam family: Bacterial small subunit ribosomal RNA
Source: RNAcentral